RNAcentral lists this ribosomal RNA (484 nucleotides) under uncultured bacterium. Its description in RNAcentral is "partial 16S ribosomal RNA". It matches the Rfam family "Bacterial small subunit ribosomal RNA", at positions 28 to 523 of the family's 1533-position model. The record is from RNAcentral.
GACGAACGCUGGCGGCGUGCUUAACACAUGCAAGUCGAACGAUGAAGCUAGAGCUUGCUCUGGUGAAUUAGUGGCGAACGGGUGAGUAACACGUGAGUAACCUGCCCCGAACUCUGGGAUAACUGCUGGAAACGGUAGCUAAUACUGGAUACGACCUACGAAGGCAUCUUCUGUAGGUGGAAAGAAUUUCGGUUCGGGAUGGACUCGCGGCCUAUCAGCUUGUUGGUGAGGUAAUGGCUCACCAAGGCGACGACGGGUAGCCGGCCAGAGAGGGUGACCGGCCACACUGGGACUGAGACAAGGCCCAGACUCCUACGGGAGGCAGCAGUGGGGAAUAUUGCACAAUGGGCGCAAGCCUGAUGCAGCAACGCCGCGUGAGGGAUGACGGCCUUCGGGUUGUAAACCUCUUUUAGUAGGGAAGAAGCGAAAGUGACGGUACCUGCAGAAAAAGCACCGGCUAACUACGUGCCAGCAGCCGCGGUAA